CCGCCACAGGCAACGUCUCCCGGAUUUUCCACUUUGGCUUUUACUGCAUUCCUCUUGCACUUUUUGGUCCUGUGGGAACUCCACGCUUGGUUUUGAGGUGUGAGAACUGAGACUCAAAGAGGUCAAGUUACCUGCUCUCCACAUAGUGAGUCGACAGUGGGGCCAUCAACAGAUCUAUGUAGUCCUGGUCACAUUUUAAUUCUGGGUACUCUAUUUUCACUUCGUAUAUAGAACACUACAGCCACACACAGCCUAAGGACAUGUUCAGCAGUGGUCCCUUAAGAUCACAAUGGGCUCUGAAAGUUUCUGUCACCUGAUGAGGUUGCAGCUGUGUAACAGCCUAGUCCUGGAUGUCACUCGGGUAGGACUUCCCUGCCAUCUUGGAUGUUGCUGUUGAACUGUGAAUGGGAACAAACUCCUCCUCCUUAAGUUGCUUCUGUCAGAUUUUGACAUAUCGAUAAGAGUAACUAUGACACCCAC
RNAcentral lists this long non-coding RNA (480 nucleotides) under Cricetulus griseus (Chinese hamster). RNAcentral describes it as "lncRNA (ENSCGRG00015040788.1)". The record is from RNAcentral. Lineage: Eukaryota; Metazoa; Chordata; Mammalia; Rodentia; Cricetidae.